RNAcentral lists this ribosomal RNA (587 nucleotides) under uncultured bacterium. Its description in RNAcentral is "bacterial SSU rRNA". It matches the Rfam family "Bacterial small subunit ribosomal RNA", at positions 331 to 929 of the family's 1533-position model. The record is from RNAcentral.
CCAGACUCCUACGGGGGCAGCAGUGGGGAAUAUUGCACAAUGGGCGGAAGCCUGAUGCAGCAACGCCGCGUGCGGGAUGACGGCCUUCGGGUUGUAAACCGCUUUCGCCUGUGACGAAGCGUGAGUGACGGUAAUGGGUAAAGAAGCACCGGCUAACUACGUGCCGGCAGCCGCGGUGAUACGUAGGGUGCGAGCGUUGUCCGGAUUUAUUGGGCGUAAAGGGCUCGUAGGUGGUUGAUCGCGUCGGAAGUGUAAUCUUGGGGCUUAACCCUGAGCGUGCUUUCGAUACGGGUUGACUUGAGGAAGGUAGGGGAGAAUGGAAUUCCUGGUGGAGCGGUGGAAUGCGCAGAUAUCAGGAGGAACACCAGUGGCGAAGGCGGUUCUCUGGGCCUUUCCUGACGCUGAGGAGCGAAAGCGUGGGGAGCGAACAGGCUUAGAUACCCUGGUAGUCCACGCUGUAAACGGUGGGUACUAGGUGUGGGGUCCAUUCCACGGGUUCCGUGCCGUAGCUAACGCUUUAAGUACCCCGCCUGGGGAGUACGGCCGCAAGGCUAAAACUCAAAGGAAUUGACGGGGGCCCGCACAAG